This 2016-nucleotide long non-coding RNA is filed under the name Rattus norvegicus (Norway rat). Its description in RNAcentral is "long non-coding RNA NONRATT001737". The record is from RNAcentral. Lineage: Eukaryota; Metazoa; Chordata; Mammalia; Rodentia; Muridae.
UUGCUGUGUCCCUUUUCUCUUUUCAGAUCCUUUUUACUGGGCCUGGUUGCCACAGGCGAAAGUCCCAUUCUCUCAGGAGAUCAAAGAUUUGAUUCUUCCAAAGAUUUCAGACCCUAACUUCGUCAAGGACUUGGAGGAGGACCUAUAUGAACUCUUCAAGAAAGAUCCUGGUUUCGACAGGGGCCAGUUCCAUAAGCAGAUUGCUGUCAUGAGAGGUCAGAUCCUAAAUUUGACCCAGGCCCUAAAAGACAAUAAGAGUCCCCUGCACCUCGUCCAGAUGCCACCCGUGAUUGUUGAGACGGCCCGUUCUCAUCAGCGGUCUUCAAGUGAAUCCUACACACAGAGCUUCCAGAGUCGGAAGCCCUUCUUUUCAUGGUGGUAGCCCAGAGGCAGGCAGGCAGAAGAAAUCCUGCAGGUGACAGGCUGGGAGAAAGCCUGGAGACCCAGGUUCCAGGAAGCCAGAGAAGCUGGUGCACAGCAGAGCCUUUCAGAGCCCUUCCUCUUUGCUUGCCACCUCCCUCAGGGCUUUCCUACCGACCGGGAGAAGCACAAUCAGGGACAGAGUGCUCCUGGACCUUCAGAGUAUUGGGGAGGCUGAUGUCCAGGCAAGGAGCCCAGGUGGCUGAGAGGAGCAGCUCCCUCCUAGCAUCUGGUGGCUGGCUGGGAAAGUCCCAUCUCUCCCUGACAACCCUCUCCACCCAGGUUCCCUAAUAUAUUCUGCAUCAGAAAAAAAACAAAAACAAAUUUAAAUACUUAUAGGAAAACCCAUAUUAAUCCUCUGACAUCAGAAGCCCUUAACCUAGAACCUAAAUUCGCUCAGACACAGGCGCCCUGAUACCUAGCAGUUGUUACUCCAUGAACUGAGCUGUCAGAAGCCCAUCGCUGGCCCAGAGACAGAAGCCAUUCCUUUCUGGUUUUGCCAAAUUGACCCUCCUCUUGCCACACUGGUACUGACUUCUUGUGGCAAUGAGCAGGUUUGUGUUCUGCAUCUCUAAGAGGCUCUGCACACAGCCCUUUUCUCUGCCCUGCUGUAACUUGCCCGGCACUGAGCUGAAGUGGGCAAGGCUAGCCUUGGCAGUUGUGUUCUGCUAGGAGUGGUUGUGUAACACGGAGAUAACUGACUUAGCCUACUUGCAUGCUGGGUGCUAGGAGGGUUCUAUGGGGAGCCUGGCACAGCCUCACUCCUGGUCCUUAGUUUCAUCCUAUCCUAUGUUUCUGUUACUCUAUUUUCCCCAUUCUUAAGUGAGGAGUUCAGUUUGAAUUCUCGAGUGGCUCUCAGCAGGGAUGUGGGUCAGUAGGUUCAUGAGCAGCCAGGACAGCAUCUCUGUUCUUCAUGUGUCACUGCUGCCUGGAAAAACAGGACCUGUGUUCUGCCUCCUAACUGCCAUGCCCCUUGGCUCCCUGCCUUCUUGUCCUGGGCUGGUUUCUGCUCAGCUUCUUGAAGAGAGGCCUUCAAACAGUCCCCCAGUGCCUGCCCAGCUCAAUGUGCAUCUUCCUGCUUCCCUGUCUUCUCCCUUGCCAGGUGUUUGAACCCUUUCUACACCAAAGCAAAGAAUUGACGUCAGGAGGGAGAGAAAGGGGGCCGCGUGUGGCUGAGAGGCAGCAGAAGUGUUUACACCCUAUGCUGGGGACCCUUGAGCAUUCUCACACACUGCAAUUGGUCAGUCAGCCUUGGAAAGAAACGUCCUGAAGGCCUGAAAAAACCAAAGAACAGGAGUGAGGAGCACAGCUGUGCCUGCCUCAACUGCUUGCCUGAAUCCCAUCGCCCAAAGGCAGGGCAGAAGACACAGCCUUCCAUCAGGUGGAGCAGACUGCUCCCUGUCCAUUCCAACCCAGGAGCCAGCUUGCUCUGGGCUUCCACUCAGCACCAUGAAUCUCUGAGCACUGGCUAUGCAUGCCCUGUGGACAAAGUCACUGUUGUUUGCCCGACUUGACAAUCCCAUCCAGCCCAUGUGGACUCUGGCCUCAGAACCACGUUUGAGAGAAUCCCUGCCUCCUCCUCCUCACAGGAGCCAG